RNAcentral lists this ribosomal RNA (431 nucleotides) under uncultured bacterium. RNAcentral describes it as "partial 16S ribosomal RNA". It matches the Rfam family "Bacterial small subunit ribosomal RNA", at positions 338 to 795 of the family's 1533-position model. The record is from RNAcentral.
CCUACGGGUGGCAGCAGUGGGGAAUCUUGCGCAAUGGGAGCAAUCCUGACGCAGCAACGCCGCGUGGGUGAUGAAGGUCUUCGGAUCGUAAAGCCCUGUCGGAGGGGAAGUAGGGCGUCCUAAGGAAGCACCGGCUAACUCUGUGCCAGCAGCCGCGGUAAUACAGAGGGUGCAAGCGUUGUUCGGAAUUAUUGGGCGUAAAGGGAGUGUAGGCGGUUUGGUAAGUCUUCUGUGAAAUCUACGGGCUUAGCCUGUAACGUGCAGAGGAAACUACCAGGCUUGAGUGUCGGAGAGGAUAGGGGAAUACCCAGUGUAGAGGUGAAAUUCGUAGAGAUUGGGUGGAACACCAGUGGCGAAGGCGCCUAUCUGGCUACACUGACGCUGAGACUCGAAAGCAUGGGGAGCAAACAGGAUUAGAUACCCUUGUAGUC